AACGAACGCUGGCGGCAUGCCUAACACAUGCAAGUCGAACGAGACCUUCGGGUCUAGUGGCGCACGGGUGCGUAACGCGUGGGAAUCUGCCCUUGGGUUCGGAAUAACAGUUGGAAACGACUGCUAAUACCGGAUGAUGACGUAAGUCCAAAGAUUUAUCGCCCAGGGAUGAGCCCGCGUAGGAUUAGCUAGUUGGUGGGGUAAAGGCCUACCAAGGCGACGAUCCUUAGCUGGUCUGAGAGGAUGAUCAGCCACACUGGGACUGAGACACGGCCCAGACUCCUACGGGAGGCAGCAGUGGGGAAUAUUGGACAAUGGGCGAUAGCCUGAUCCAGCAAUGCCGCGUGAGUGAUGAAGGCCUUAGGGUUGUAAAGCUCUUUUACCCGGGAUGAUAAUGACAGUACCGGGAGAAUAAGCCCCGGCUAACUCCGUG
Molecule: ribosomal RNA, 433 nt
Filed under: uncultured bacterium
Lineage: Bacteria
Description: partial 16S ribosomal RNA
Rfam family: Bacterial small subunit ribosomal RNA
Source: RNAcentral